ACACGCCGCCUGUGGCGAUGGCGGCCGCCGCAUCCGUUCCAAUCCACCCCACGCUCUCAAACCCUAGCACCACCAACCAAAGUAGAUUCGCAGGCCGGCUUCUUCGUCAAGGACCGGCCGGGAGCGCGCGAUUCGCCGCCUCCGAUCGAUGCAUGCGCCGUCGCUAUCCGUCGCCCUCGUCUGGUCAGCUUGGACGAGAUGGUGCCUCCGGUUGGUUGCGUCAUGCCGGCGUCGACGGUGUGGCUGGCCUUCUGCAGGCUAGCAUUUGUGCAUGUACACGGAGUCGAAAUAGAGAAAGAAAAAAGGCAUCUACAGUUUUAAAGCCUGGCAGUACAGGGAGGGUAUGUGCUAUUGAGUUCCGUAAUCCAUGUACAGUUCCUGAGAUCUUCAGGACGCAUAUGGCUACCGGGGGGCAAUUAGCGACUUCGUCAGCCCGUCCUUAUUCAGUAGCGUCCAAUUAUCUUUGCCUGAACCUUUUCCUCGGAGCUGGAAAGGACCUACAGUCUCUGAACUUUUGUGCACAAGUUCAGCCGUUUCCUCGACUAUGAGCUGAUCAAGGAUACAAAUGGGUCCAAAAUAAAAAUAAAAAUGAAGACCCUGAAAUCCAGAUGCCAGUCACGUCUGGGAUGAUCAUCAUUCUUCUGUUCUUCUCACUGUCUGAACAUCUUGAGGGAUAGCAAUUGGCAAUUGCUUCUUGCAGGGAACAGUCUGUUGAGACAUCGGGUUGCAGCGUCGCCCUUGAGCUGUGCUGGUCCAGAACAAACUGAACUUCUUCUACAGUUGUGGCACCGGGUGGAUGCAUCUGUUGGCUAAGGACAACGCUAGGGGUUCGGCUCCACCGUCCGGAAUGCUUAGCCCUUGGUCGAUUCUGGAGCACCGUGACGACUGCGUCUUCCAUCAAUGUACAGCUGGUCGCUCUCGAGGCCGGGGAAGAGAUACUUGUGCUAACUAAGCUUGGCUGUGGAAACAGGAAUUCGUGCCCUUCUCCCAGCGAUCUUGUGUUGGUUGCUGGUCGUUUUCUGUUAUCUUUGUGUC
Molecule: long non-coding RNA, 1035 nt
Organism: Panicum hallii
Lineage: Eukaryota; Viridiplantae; Streptophyta; Magnoliopsida; Poales; Poaceae
Exons: 3
Source: RefSeq, a predicted model, not a curated record